UAGGGAAUCUUCCACAAUGGGCGCAAGCCUGAUGGAGCAACACCGCGUGAGUGAAGAAGGGUUUCGGCUCGUAAAGCUCUGUUGUUAAAGAAGAACACGUAUGAGAGUAACUGUUCAUACGUUGACGGUAUUUAACCAGAAAGUCACGGCUAACUACGUGCCAGCAGCCGCGGUAAUACGUAGGUG
RNAcentral lists this ribosomal RNA (186 nucleotides) under uncultured Lactobacillus sp. RNAcentral describes it as "partial 16S ribosomal RNA". It matches the Rfam family "Bacterial small subunit ribosomal RNA", at positions 355 to 533 of the family's 1533-position model. The record is from RNAcentral. Lineage: Bacteria; Bacillati; Bacillota; Bacilli; Lactobacillales; Lactobacillaceae.